Molecule: long non-coding RNA, 814 nt
Filed under: Homo sapiens (human)
Lineage: Eukaryota; Metazoa; Chordata; Mammalia; Primates; Hominidae
Description: HSALNT0019255
Source: RNAcentral
AGAAAAGGUGGGGGUUUGCAAAGGGAGUAACUUCUGGUUCCUUUGUUACUUAGGUAUGGAAAGUUAGGGUUUUCCUUUCACUUUAGUUCUAGGAAGUCAGCGUGAAACGCCUGAAGUUUUCUGCCUCCAGACUCUACUCUCCUGCCUCAAUUCUACUCUCUACUUUUAUAAGCUCGACUCACAUUUGAUGACAUAGAAGACUUAAUUUCCUCCUCAUGAUUAAUCUCUCAGUUGGAGAGUAUACACACUCUUACACAGAAUCCAGGACGAAAGCCCUCAUCAGAUGCUUACAUCAUGAUCUUGGACUUCCCAGCCUCCAGACUGAGGCUGAGGCGUGAGUUCAUUUUAAUAAAUGGGAAAAGAAAGUAACCCAGGCCAAGGAGAUUCAUCUUUGGAAAAGAGCCUAGCAGAAAUACAACAUCAUCCUACCUCAGAAACUGGAUAAACAAAUGCCCAAAUGAGAGAAACAGAAACCACAGCUCCUAGAAAAAACUCUUGAACCAUAAGAAGACUGUAAAAGAAAGGGGCUGAAUUCUGACCAUAGGAGGAGUCACGCAAAAAUCUCCCUUUAUGUGGUUCCCAGUGAGCUUGUCUGAAAGGGAAAUGAGUGGUGAAAGGCUUUUAGUUUUAAAUUUUCGUCAAAAGGAUGAUCUAUUCUGUUGCAUUAUGGCCCAUGCAGAAAAGAAGGAAAAUCAAAGUAAUGCUGAGGAGGCCACUUCAAGGGGGGAAAAAGAAUAACUUUCAGUUAGUAUUUUCGUUUGUUUCAAAAAUAGACAACAUUUGGCAUAAGGUCACUUGUAUAUUACUGAGGAUG